This 804-nucleotide ribosomal RNA is filed under the name uncultured bacterium. RNAcentral describes it as "bacterial SSU rRNA". It matches the Rfam family "Bacterial small subunit ribosomal RNA", at positions 62 to 888 of the family's 1533-position model. The record is from RNAcentral.
UCGACGGGUCUUAGCAAUAGGACAGUGGCGCACGGGUGAGUAACACGUAGCUUAUCUGCCCCAAAGAGUGGGAUAACGCCCCGAAAGGGGUGCUAAUACCGCAUAAGCUCACGAGCUACAGAGGCUCAUGAGAAAAGGCGCAAGUCGCUUUGGGAGGAGGCUGCGGCCCAUCAGGUAGUUGGUGAGGUAAUGGCUCACCAAGCCGACGACGGGUAGGGGACCUGAGAGGGUGAUCCCCCACACUGGGACUGAGACACGGCCCAGACUCCUACGGGAGGCAGCAGUGAGGAAUAUUGCCCAAUGGAGGAAACUCUGAGGCAGCGACGCCGCGUGGGUGAAGAAGGCCUUCGGGUCGUAAAGCCCUUUUCUGUGUGACGAGCAAGGACGGUAGCACAGGAAUAAGUCUCGGCUAACUACGUGCCAGCAGCCGCGGUAAAACGUAGGAGGCAAGCGUUAUCCGGAGUUACUGGGCGUAAAGAGUGCGUAGGCGGGAAUGUAAGUGGGUGGUGAAAGCCCUCGGCUAAACUGAGGGAGGACCGCUCAGACUGCAUUUCUAGAGGCGGAUAGAGGAGCGUGGAAUUCCGGGUGUAGCGGUGAAAUGUGUAGAGAUCCGGAGGAACACCAGUGGCGCAAGCGGCGCUCUGGGUCCGUACUGACGCUGAGGCACGAAAGCGUGGGGAGCGAACGGGAUUAGAGACCCCGGUAGUCCACGCCGUAAACGAUGUCAACUAGGUGUCCACCUGGCUACGGUCAGGGGGGUGCCGACGCUAACGCAAUAAGUUGACCGCCUGGGGAGUACGGUCG